UUCUGGGGGCUUUGCAGUUUUAACCUAAAAUCUUUUUUCUAUCCCAGGACCCCAUCUGGGCUCGUAUACAUGACUUGUCACGUCUCCAGAGGCUCCUCUGGGCUGGGACGGUUUCUCAGACUUUUCUUGUUUCUGAAGACCCCGACAGCCUGGAGAAGUAUUAGAUAUAUGGUA
This is a non-coding RNA of Callorhinus ursinus (northern fur seal), 174 nucleotides long. NCBI's taxonomy places the organism in Eukaryota, Metazoa, Chordata, Mammalia, Carnivora, Otariidae. The record is from RefSeq and is a predicted model, not a curated record.